RNAcentral lists this ribosomal RNA (812 nucleotides) under human gut metagenome. RNAcentral's name for it is "bacterial SSU rRNA". It matches the Rfam family "Bacterial small subunit ribosomal RNA", at positions 8 to 840 of the family's 1533-position model. The record is from RNAcentral.
AGAGUUCGAUCCUGGCUCAGGAUGAACGCUGGCGGCGCGCCUAACACAUGCAAGUCGAACGGCACCUGCCCUCGGGCAGAAGCGAGUGGCGAACGGCUGAGUAACACGUGGAGAACCUGCCCCCUCCCCCGGGAUAGCCGCCCGAAAGGACGGGUAAUACCGGAUACCCCGGGGUGCCGCAUGGCACCCCGGCUAAAGCCCCGACGGGAGGGGAUGGCUCCGCGGCCCAUCAGGUAGACGGCGGGGUGACGGCCCACCGUGCCGACAACGGGUAGCCGGGUUGAGAGACCGACCGGCCAGAUUGGGACUGAGACACGGCCCAGACUCCUACGGGAGGCAGCAGUGGGGAAUCUUGCGCAAUGGGGGGAACCCUGACGCAGCGACGCCGCGUGCGGGACGGAGGCCUUCGGGUCGUAAACCGCUUUCAGCAGGGAAGAGUCAAGACUGUACCUGCAGAAGAAGCCCCGGCUAACUACGUGCCAGCAGCCGCGGUAAUACGUAGGGGGCGAGCGUUAUCCGGAUUCAUUGGGCGUAAAGCGCGCGUAGGCGGCCCGGCAGGCCGGGGGUCGAAGCGGGGGGCUCAACCCCCCGAAGCCCCCGGAACCUCCGCGGCUUGGGUCCGGUAGGGGAGGGUGGAACACCCGGUGUAACGGUGGAAUGCGCAGAUAUCGGGUGGAACACCGGUGGCGAAGGCGGCCCUCUGGGCCGAGACCGACGCUGAGGCGCGAAAGCUGGGGGAGCUAACAGGAUUAAAUACCCUGGUAGUCCCAGCCCUAAACGAUGGACUCUAGGUGUGGGGGGGACAAUCCCCC